Molecule: transfer RNA, 73 nt
Filed under: Mus pahari (shrew mouse)
Lineage: Eukaryota; Metazoa; Chordata; Mammalia; Rodentia; Muridae
Description: tRNA-Phe (GAA) (tRNA-Phe-GAA-4-1)
Rfam family: tRNA
About the family: Transfer RNA (tRNA) molecules are approximately 80 nucleotides in length.
Source: RNAcentral
GCCAAAAUAACUCAGUUGAAAGAGCAUUAGACUGAAGAUCUAAAGGUUCUUGAUUCAAUCCCGGGUUUUGGCA